UUUUUACCUUAAUAUUAUCCUUUUUUUUUCCUUUUUCAUUUCUUAAACCCACUAAACCCUCCCCUUAUCCUCUCUCUCUCACCACAAUGCUCACUACAGCAGCAGCUAUGAUGGCCGGCUCAGCCACUCCCUUCCCGUCGACCUCCGUAUAUCUCGCCGCUGGCGAACUGUCCUUAUCAAUCCCAGUACCUAAACCAACAAAUUUCGCCGGCCGUUCAUCCACUUUCCGCCGCAACUCCAUCCUCCAUUCCAUCCGGGUCGAGAAUCCAAAUUCGGGUCGGGUCAAUACUAUCGUGUGCAAAGCUAACCGGUCCGCAUACUCGCCACUGAACUCCGGGUCGAACUACGGCGACCGUCCACCGACUGAGAUGGCUCCGCUUUUCCCCGGGUGUGAUUACGAACACUGGCUUAUAGUUAUGGAUAAGCCCGGAGGUGAAGGUGCUACUAAACAGCAGAUGAUUGAUUGUUACAUACAAACAUUGGCUAAAGUAGUUGGGAGUGAAGAAGAGGCCAAGAAGAAGAUAUACAAUGUUUCAUGCGAAAGAUACUUCGGUUUUGGAUGUGAGAUUGAUGAGGAGACAUCGAAUAAGCUUGAAGGUUUGCCUGGUGUUCUCUUUGUCCUACCAGAUUCAUAUGUCGAUCCUGAGAACAAGGAUUAUGGAGCUGAGCUAUUUGUGAACGGAGAGAUAGUUCAAAGAUCACCUGAAAGACAAAAGAGAGUGGAGCCAGUACCCCAGAGAGCUCAAGACAGACCCAGAUAUAACGACCGAACACGUUAUGUGAGACGCCGUGAGAACACACGGUGAAGAUAGUAUUGCAACAACUAUGCCUCAAUCCCAAACAAGUUAGGGAAAAAGAUCUUGAUUGUGGAAAGAUGAUUUAUCGGUUGUUCUGUUAAUUAUUGUUCUGUGCUAAUGGAACGCUUGAUGAUUUUGUUUGAAAUCUUUAAAACAUAGGUACUUGAUAGUCAUGCAAG
This 976-nucleotide unclassified non-coding RNA is filed under the name Hevea brasiliensis (rubber tree). Lineage: Eukaryota; Viridiplantae; Streptophyta; Magnoliopsida; Malpighiales; Euphorbiaceae. The record is from RNAcentral.